GAGGCCGACCUGUAUAUGUGGCGGUCCAUCCCCCUCGAUAAAAUUGGAUGGGAUAACGUUGAACAACAUUACAAGGAUGCCCUCAUGAACCACUUACGGGAAAAUUUCAAUUUUGAUGAAGUGGAACGUGAUAUAGAGGCCAAAAACUUGACGGGUGGCAUUAGGGCUGUGCUUAUGAAGCGGUACUCUGACCGCAAGUACGAGGCUAAAAAAUUAUUUAAGAGCAAGGGAGGUUACAAUGAUCUUGAGAGUGCAAGGGCAUUCCAUCCCGAGGAUAUGCCCUAUGAUAACUGGUUGAGAGCCAUUGAAGGUUUCCGGGAAGCUAAAUAUAUUAAAAGAAGCGAGGCCAACACACUAGUACGCGAGAAACAACAAUUCCCAUACCGUGGGGGGGACAUCUUCGUACGGUAGCACCGCCUAUAAAAAUGAUAUGGAUUGGGUACCUACGUAUGCUAAAACCCACACGGACAAUCAAGGGAAUUGGGUUGAUCCGGUUGCUGAACAAAAUUACCGGAACAUACAACAGGCCACAAGUCAAUGGUGCGGUGAGGGUCCGCCAAUUGCCCCGUAUCAGGAAGCGUUGGGUGAGCGGCGAGGAUGGUACCGCGGGAUGGGGCCUAAACCUUCUUCCAACACGUCCUCGCACUCGUCAUCUAACAUGUCGUCUUCGCAAGCUCGGACGCAAGAACCCUUUUCCGAGGUAAACUGCGCAAUUUAAAAAAUGACAAACGAACGCAUGUUUCCUUGUUAAAUAUAUGUUGGUAGCGUUAAUUAAUAUGCUAAUAUACGUUUUGCUAUCUAUUAUUGUAGGAU
Long non-coding RNA from Helianthus annuus (common sunflower), 813 nucleotides. RefSeq lists it as uncharacterized. The transcript has 4 exons. NCBI's taxonomy places the organism in Eukaryota, Viridiplantae, Streptophyta, Magnoliopsida, Asterales, Asteraceae. The record is from RefSeq and is a predicted model, not a curated record.